UGUGGUUCUUGUAGAAGAGCAUAAUCAUGACAACAAUAAUUAAUUCAGUCCUGAUAUUACUAUUUUUACAUGAUAUUCAUUGUCAGACAUUCACUCAGUCUCAAGAUGUGGUAAAAAGACCAGGUGAAUCUUUUACGCUGGUCUGUACUGCCUCUGGAUUUACAUUCAGCGGCUCCUGGGCAGCUGUAAUGAGACAGGCACCCGGUAAAGGACUGGAAUGGGUUGCAGCUAUCACUUCCACCAGUGAUGCAUACUAUUCCCAGUCAGUUCAGGGCAGGUUUAAAGUGUCUAGAGCUGAUUCCAGCAGUCAACUGUACCUACAGAUGAACAGCUUCAAGACUGAAGACACUGCUGUGUAUUACUGCGCAAGAGAAUCUGGCGGUGCCUUUGACUACUGGGGAAAGGGAACAACAGUGACUGUAACAUCAGCUCAACCAUCUGCACCAAAGUCAGUCUUUGCCAUGUCUCAGUGUACUUCUGAUUCUGAUGGGUUCCUCAUCAUCGGCUGCUUGGCAAGAGGUUUCUCACCUGCGGACUCGCUUACUUUUAAAUGGAAGGAUUUUGCUACAAAUGAGUUGAGUGAUUUUGUGCAGUAUCCGGCGUUUGGACGGAAUGGAGACUAUACCAAAAUCAGCCAUCUGCGUGUGAGGAAAAGUGAUUGGGAUCCUCAAAAGCCUUACACAUGCGAAGCUUCAAAUUCUCAAGGCAGUAAAAACAUUCCUGUUCCAUCACUCCCACCGCCAGAUCAGCGUGCAGAUGUGUACUUAACAGUACCUACAAAAAUGGAGUUAGACAAUGGAACAGCAACCUUCAUGUGUUUAGCCCAGCGGUUUUCACCUAAAACAUACGUGUUUAAGUGGUUUCAGGAUGGUAAGGAGGUGACAGAUGUGAUAGACAAAUAUGACAAAAGUGAGAAGAAAGGAUCAGUAACCAAAUAUAGCGCAACAAGCAUUUUGCAAAUCAGUGCCGACAAAUGGAAGCAGCCAAACAGCAAAGUUAAGUGUGAGUUUGUGCACAUGGCGGGAAAUGAAGAUAUUGAGGCCGAAUAUGCAGCUCUUAUUCAAGAUUACACCGAUAUUGCUGUUGAUAUAGUGCCUCCCUCCCUUGAAGACAUGCUGAAAAAUAAACAAGGAGAGCUGAAGUGCAAAGCUUCAGCAGAAAAUUCAGGUUUCACCAAAAUAACAAUAAAAGCGAAUAAUAAUGCCAUCGCUGAGGCAGCAGUAGGGGAAAACCGAAAAUAUGUGGAACUUGUCGCCCAGAUUGGCUAUGAAGAAUGGAGCAAUGGCACCGAAUUUACAUGCACCGUUGAACACAACGAGCUAGCAGAGCCCAAGGCAACUAAGUUCAUCAGAGAAAAUGGUAAAGAACCCAAGAGACCCUCUGUUUACAUAUUAGCACCCCCAGAGCACAAAAAGGGUGAAAAGAUGACCCUGACAUGUUAUGUGAAGGACUUCUACCCCAAAGAGGUGUUUGUGUCUUGGCUUGCUGAUGAUGAACCUGUGACUCUUGGGUACAGUUACAACACUAGCCUGCCGAUUCAGAAUGAUAAAUACUUCUCAGUGUACAGUCAGCUAACAGUUGAUUAUUCAGAGUGGAAGAGCGGUACACUGUUCAGUUGUGUCGUGUACCAUGAAAGCAUUGAUGAAAAAAUGCGCAUACUGACGAGAUCUAUUGCCGAUAAUAUUGAUAAGGCAGGUGUCAUUAAUCUAAGUAUGAAUACCCCUGCAUCUAGCAAGGACUAGAGCAUUGUGUAUGUGGUGUCUUCCUGUUAUGCCUGUUAAGUGUUCAUUUUGUUUUCUUUUUUUGUUUUCUUCCUGUUCUUGAGUUGCAUGUCCAUAUUUGUAAUUGUGUUGGUCUUUAAUGUUUGUGGCUUCUUGCUUUCAUGCGUAUUACAUUUAGGAAAGACUAAUAAAAAAGAA
This is a non-coding RNA of Sinocyclocheilus grahami, 1919 nucleotides long. The record is from the annotation of a RefSeq genome assembly. NCBI's taxonomy places the organism in Eukaryota, Metazoa, Chordata, Actinopteri, Cypriniformes, Cyprinidae.